Molecule: ribosomal RNA, 510 nt
Filed under: Candidatus Regiella insecticola
Lineage: Bacteria; Pseudomonadati; Pseudomonadota; Gammaproteobacteria; Enterobacterales; Enterobacteriaceae
Description: partial 23S ribosomal RNA
Rfam family: Bacterial large subunit ribosomal RNA
Source: RNAcentral
GGGAGGACCAUCUCCUAAGGCUAAAUACUUCUUAGUGACCGAUAGUGAACCAGUACCGUGAGGGAAAGGUGAAAAGAACCCCGAAAGGGGAGUGAAAUAGAUCCUGAAACUGUGUGCCUACAAUUAGUCAAAGCACGUUAAUGUGUGAUGGCUUGCCUUUUGCAGAAUGAACCGGCGAGUUAUGAUAUGGAGCAAGGUUAAGUUUUAAGGAACGGAGCCGUAGCGAAAGCGAGUCUUAAUAGGGCGUUUAGUUGCAUGUCAUAGACCCGAAACUGAAGUGAGCUAGCCAUGAGCAGGUUGAAGUUUAGGUAAAACUAAAUGGAGGACCGAACCAGGACACGUUGAAAAGUGUUUGGAUGACUUGUGGCUAGGGGUGAAAUUCCAAUCGAACUCAGAGAUAGCUGGUUCUCCCCGAAAUAGCUUUAGGGCUAGCGUUGAUUUAGUAAUUUGGUGAAGGUAGAGCACUGAAUGAGUAAGGGCUCCACCUCGGGGUACCGAACUCAAUCAAAC